Heteronotia binoei (common prickly gecko) is the source of this 1346-nucleotide long non-coding RNA. RefSeq lists it as uncharacterized. NCBI's taxonomy places the organism in Eukaryota, Metazoa, Chordata, Lepidosauria, Squamata, Gekkonidae. The record is from RefSeq and is a predicted model, not a curated record. The transcript is spliced from 2 exons.
GCUAAUCAGUCCAAUAGAUUUCAGGCACCCCUGCUUGCCAAUGGCAUUGGCAGCAUGUUUCCUAAUUUGGGCCUGCUCUUCUGAAGCCUUUCCCUCUGUGCCAGGCCCUGGAAAUCCUAGGGCUGCCUCUAUUGUCCCCCACCCUCUUUCUUUCUCCUCGUUGGAGUAGAUUUAUAUGUGUUGCAGAAUAACUGUGACUGAAACAGACUUUUACAAAACAAACUGAAGGAAUGAAAUUGCCCAAUGAAGUUACUGACUCACUUGUUGACUAAGAAGUCUGUUAUGGGGUUGUUAUAGCCUGUAAAAGAAUUACUAAUGUUGCUAUGAGAACACAGAGCAAUGUGUGUGGUUUAUACUUAAAUGUUAAGGUUUGAAAGUACACUGAGAUGUUUUUUCUUAUCAGGGCUGAGAUAGUGCUCCUCUGAUUCAAGAGAUCCUUCAAGAGCCUUAGUUAAUACUCAUUUUAAUUUAAUUUUUUUAUACAUUCAUUGCAAAUAUGAAGCAAAAAAAAUCUAUAUGUUGCAGGGGAAACACUGUGAAUUUCACACACGCAACCAAGAGACUACUUUGCCAUCUCUUUUAAACAUACGUCUCAGGAGAAGAAACUGGAACUGAUGGUUAUGUUUUUUUACUGUCUAUGCAUUCAAAACCAGGUCUGUGGUUAUUUUGUUUGCUGGGAGAGGACUUAAGAAUGAUGUUUGGUUAAAGCUGAGCUACGGCAUCUGAAGCUGCUGACAGCAAGGCUUGACAGGAAGAUAGAAAAAACAGAACUCAAACCUUUUCAGAGACCUACUGACACACUUAGGUAUCUUUCUGAAACUUAAAAAUACCAAAUGUUGAAUCAACAGCUGAGAAUGUUUUGUAAAUCAGUAAUUAAAACCGUUAUGGAUUUAAUUGCAACACAUCAAUUUAAUUUGGGAAUUAUUUGUCCCAGUGCGAUGGGCCACCUAUAGUAUAUGUACAUAAGUGUAUGUAUAUAGGUAUAUUUCUAGGUCUUUCUCUAGGCUUCUCUAGGGUGUGAGGGAAAGCAAAAGAAGGAGCUAGAGAUCAGUAUAAAUAUAUUAAUGUGUGACCUGGUAUUUUUCAUUUUGACUGUGACAUAUUCGUGCAAAUAUUUAGUGGUUCUUGUUUUGCCAUUUGUUAUCCAAAUUCAUUGCUUUUAAAAUAAUAAUAAAGCCCAACUGCAUCUUGGCUGAAUUUGAAGUGAUGCCUGAGUAGCAAUGUUAAAAAGUUUUGUUUGUGAAUCAUGUGAUCAGCUUCUCUCAGCCUGACAUGGAAAGUCUCUUGUACUAAAGUGUAUUUAAUGAAAAUUAUGUCCUACAAUAAACAAUGUCAUCCUCAAAAAA